GAGGACCGGCUCGCCACCAAAAAGCGUACCAGAAAAGAUGGCGGAUUUUGAGCUUUGCUGACGCCACAUGGUCCCCUUUGCCCAUGGUAAUUACCACUGACAUACCGCGAUACAAAGUCAAAAACGUGUCCAUCACCCUCCCGAUUUUUAUGAAAAUAUUUUCGGUUUUCGGUAUUGUUUUCGGCAUAUAUUUUCUCCGCAUUUCAUCUAAAAAGACUCUUUUUCCCUGUUCAACAAGUUAAAUGGAGAAGUGAUUUCUUGUGGAGUUCAACAACUUAAAUGGAGAAGUGAAUGGCCUAAUUCACCUAUCGGGAGAUUAAUUUUUACCUCAGAUGAAUUUAAAACAUUAAACAUGAUGACUGUGAUAAAGAUAAUAUAGAAUUUGGGGAUGGCUUUUUGCAAAUUACUGGAACUUUAAACUGUUAAUUUUACC
Molecule: long non-coding RNA, 433 nt
Organism: Dendronephthya gigantea
Lineage: Eukaryota; Metazoa; Cnidaria; Anthozoa; Malacalcyonacea; Nephtheidae
Exons: 3
Source: RefSeq, a predicted model, not a curated record